GUUCUCUUUAUCACCUGCCACUAGAGACUUCCUUUGCCCCUCCCUUCCCGGCUCCAGCCUGGGUGUUGUGCAAGAGCCAGAGGAAUUUGUGAUAAUGGAGCCACAAGCCCAGGCCCAACCCAGGCCCAAGGAACUUGACCUGAAGCAGGAGGGGAAACUACUCAAGAAGGAAGACCCACCAUGAAUGUUACCACCAUCCUAUGCUGGGAGCUUGGACUGAGUAAGAAGGAGGAAAGAAGCUAAGCCCUACUGUUUGUCAUUCUCUAUUUCUUGGUUGAGAUGCAAGGUCACCGGCUGCCUUGCACUCCCCAUGUCAAGCCUUCCUUGAAGGAAUGGAGACAUUCCUUCAAACCACGAGCCAAAAUGAACCCUUGCUUCCUUAAUAUUCUUUGUUGUUAUGUGUGUGUGUGUGUGUGUGUGUGUGUGUGUGUGUGUGUGUUUUGUUUUGUUAUUUCAUCACAGCAAGGAGACAUAUAACCAACACAAGUAGAUGUUCACUAGACACAGUGGUGGGAAGGUAGGAGUUUCGAACAGAACAAACCCUGACCAGAACUGUCUCUCAGGACAAGCUGCUUUCACCUUCCACUUCUCCAAGGAAUCGGGGGACAGAAGGGCAGAGUGGGGUUGCCUUCACAGUCUACUUCCUUGAUCUGGAACAUUCUGCUCACAGCUACUGAAAUCCCCAUUGCAACCAUCUAAUAACAACCUGCUCUCUGGGCUGAAGAAAUGGUUCAGCGGUUAAGAGCACUGGCUGUUCUUCUUUAGAACCUGGGUUCAAUUCCCAGCAUCCACACGGCAGCUCAUACCUGUUUGUAACUCUAAGAUCUGAUACCCUCACACAGACAUACAUGCAGGCAAAAUACCAAUGCAAGUGAAAUAAAAGUAAAUUAUUAAAAAAAAAAAUCUUUAUCUCU
RNAcentral lists this long non-coding RNA (914 nucleotides) under Cricetulus griseus (Chinese hamster). Its description in RNAcentral is "lncRNA (ENSCGRG00015023352.2)". Lineage: Eukaryota; Metazoa; Chordata; Mammalia; Rodentia; Cricetidae. The record is from RNAcentral.